Molecule: transfer RNA, 93 nt
Filed under: Gemmatimonadetes bacterium T265
Lineage: Bacteria; Pseudomonadati; Gemmatimonadota
Description: tRNA-Ala
Source: RNAcentral
CGCCGGUCUGGGGGACGUGGUGGUUCCGCCUGCUCGCGGCCGGCGCGGGCGCGUUCGCCGGGUGGCGCCUGAUCCGCUUCCAGCAGCGGCGGC